UACGGAAGGCAGCAGUGGGGAAUAUUGCACAAUGGGCGCAAGCCUGAUGCAGCCAUGCCGCGUGUAUGAAGAAGGCCUUCGGGUUGUAAAGUACUUUCAGUCGUGAGGAAGGUGUUAAGGUUAAUAACCUUAGCAAUUGACGUUAGCGACAGAAGAAGCACCGGCUAACUCCGUGCCAGCAGCCGCGGUAAUACGGAGGGUGCGAGCGUUAAUCGGAAUUACUGGGCGUAAAGGGCACGCAGGCGGUUAAUUAAGUUGGAUGUGAAAUCCCCGGGCUUAACCUGGGAAUGGCAUUCAAGACUGGUUAGCUAGAGUCUUGUAGAGGGGGUAGGAAUUCCAUGUGUAGCGGUGAAAUGCGUAGAGAUGUGGAGGAAUACCGGUGGCGAAGGCGGCCCCUGGACAAAGACUGACGCUCAUGUGCGAAAGCGUGGGGAGCAAACAGGAUUAGAUA
This 451-nucleotide ribosomal RNA is filed under the name uncultured bacterium. RNAcentral's name for it is "bacterial SSU rRNA". It matches the Rfam family "Bacterial small subunit ribosomal RNA", at positions 340 to 784 of the family's 1533-position model. The record is from RNAcentral.